CAAGGACAAGUCUAAUGACAAAUGGAAGGCAAAGAGGUCCCAAAGAGUGAUAUGCUCUGAUGCAGUGAGGACUCUGAGGCUCCAUGCUGAAUCAAAGCAAUGAAGCCAGAGGCAGUCCUCUCCCUGCUGGGAAUGCCAGCUACAUGUUGAAGCAGAUUCUGCUCGUGCUCCCUAAUACCUGGAUUAUGCAUUUCUAAUAGUGUGCUUGACUGCAUUUUCUAGGUCUUUUGCUUCUAAGUGGGGUCAAGUGGCUGUUGCUUAUCAAUUGAAUGAGAGCAGAGGAAAUAUGUAUCACUUCCCGGUUGAGAUGGUUAAGGAUGUGUCCUGAAAU
This 331-nucleotide long non-coding RNA is filed under the name Homo sapiens (human). Its description in RNAcentral is "HSALNT0069698". Lineage: Eukaryota; Metazoa; Chordata; Mammalia; Primates; Hominidae. The record is from RNAcentral.